RNAcentral lists this ribosomal RNA (850 nucleotides) under uncultured bacterium. RNAcentral's name for it is "bacterial SSU rRNA". It matches the Rfam family "Bacterial small subunit ribosomal RNA", at positions 26 to 898 of the family's 1533-position model. The record is from RNAcentral.
AGGACGAACGCUGGCGGCGUGCUUAACACAUGCAAGUCGAGCGAGAAACCUUCGGGUUUCUAGCGGCGGACGGGUGAGUAACACGUGGGUAACCUGCCUCAAAGAGGGGGAUAGCCUCCCGAAAGGGAGAUUAAUACCGCAUAAAAUCAUAGCUUCGCAUGAAGCAAUGAUUAAAGGAGUAAUCCGCUUUGAGAUGGACCCGCGUCGCAUUAGCUAGUUGGAGAGGUAACGGCUCACCAAGGCGACGAUGCGUAGCCGACCUGAGAGGGUGAUCGGCCACAUUGGAACUGAGACACGGUCCAGACUCCUACGGGAGGCAGCAGUGGGGAAUAUUGCACAAUGGGCGAAAGCCUGAUGCAGCAACGCCGCGUGAGUGAAGAAGGUCUUCGGAUUGUAAAACUCUGUCUUUUGGGACGAUAAUGACGGUACCAAAGGAGGAAGCCACGGCUAACUACGUGCCAGCAGCCGCGGUAAUACGUAGGUGGCAAGCGUUGUCCGGAUUUACUGGGCGUAAAGGAUGUGUAGGCGGAUAUUUAAGUGAGAUGUGAAAUCCCCGGGCUCAACUUGGGGCGUGCAUUUCAAACUGGAUAUCUAGAGUGCAGGAGAGGAAAGCGGAAUUCCUAGUGUAGCGGUGAAAUGCGUAGAGAUUAGGAAGGACAUCAGUGGCGAAGGCGGCUUUCUGGACUGUAACUGACGCUGAGGCAUGAAAGCGUGGGGAGCGAACAGGAUUAGAUACCCUGGUAGUCCACGCCGUAAACGAUGAGUACUAGGUGUAGGAGGUAUCGACUCCUUCUGUGCCGCAGUUAACACAAUAAGUACUCCGCCUGGGAAGUACGGUCGCAAGAUUAAA